Long non-coding RNA from Nomascus leucogenys (northern white-cheeked gibbon), 575 nucleotides. RefSeq lists it as uncharacterized. The record is from RefSeq and is a predicted model, not a curated record. NCBI's taxonomy places the organism in Eukaryota, Metazoa, Chordata, Mammalia, Primates, Hylobatidae.
UUUGGCCUCCCAAAGUGCUGGGAUUACAAGCGUGAGCUACCGUACCCGGCCGCUUCCUCUUUUUAUAAGGGUACCUACCAUUUCGCCAGCUGUCCACGUGUGGCUGUUGUGUCAUUUUUUUCUUCAUCUGCUGGACCAUUGGGACUUCGGCUGCAGGUGGCAGGAGGCUCCAUCCUCAAGUGUCUCCACGGAUAAGGACAGGCACCAUCCAGCGCACAACCCCUCUGCACCCCUAAUCAGUGUGAAAUGACGAGACACAAUCACAGCUUCAAAUCACAUCCUUGCUGAACUCACAGAGGACAAUUUAGGCAGGAACCGCACACUGCUAUGAGUAGGUGAUGCAUCUACAAGGUGGUCCCAGCAGCCUUCAGCCCUGGAGUCUGACUGCCCUGGUCCAAGCUGUCCCCGCCUUGCUGGCCUCCUGGGGCCCGUGCACCCUGUUGACAUUCCCCUCUCCACCGCCCUCCACUCAAAGCACCAAAGAAGACUUACUCAAUGUGUCUUUAUGGUGCAGAGUCCUGGCAAGCAGAGGUCUUUGUGUAGCUGUUGAAUAAAAAAAGUCCUUGUGAUGCGUA